RNAcentral lists this ribosomal RNA (406 nucleotides) under uncultured bacterium. RNAcentral's name for it is "partial 16S ribosomal RNA". It matches the Rfam family "Bacterial small subunit ribosomal RNA", at positions 29 to 526 of the family's 1533-position model. The record is from RNAcentral.
AUUGAACGCUGGCGGCAGGCCUAACACAUGCAAGUCGAACGAGUGGCGGACGGGUGAGUAAUGUCUGGGAAACUGCCUGAUGGAGGGGGAUAACUACUGGAAACGGUAGCUAAUACCGCAUACCAUCGGAUGUGCCCAGAGGGGAUUAGCUAGUAGGUGGGGUAAAGGCUCACCUAGGCGACGAUCCCUAGCUGGGCUGAGAGGAUGACCAGACAGACUGGAACUGAGACACGGCCCCGACGCCUACGGGAGGCAGCAGUGGGGAAUAUUGAACAAUGGGCGCAAGCCUGAUGGAGCCAUGCCGCGUGUAUGAAGAAGGCCUGCGGGUUGUAAAGUACGUUCAGAGGGGAGGCGUUACCCGCAGAAGAAGCACCGGCUAACUCCGCGCCAGCAGCCGCGGUAAUAC